This 306-nucleotide unclassified non-coding RNA is filed under the name uncultured fungus. RNAcentral's name for it is "sequence contains ITS1". The stretch from base 1 to 105 matches the Rfam family "5.8S ribosomal RNA", at positions 50 to 154 of the family's 154-position model. Lineage: Eukaryota; Fungi. The record is from RNAcentral.
GAAAUGCGAUAAGUAGUGUGAAUUGCAGAAUUCAGUGAAUCAUCGAAUCUUUGAACGCACAUUGCGCCCUUUGGUAUUCCAAAGGGCAUGCCUGUUCGAGCGUCAUAUUUACCCUCAAGCAUUGAUUGGUGUUGGGCGUCUUGUCUCUAGCUUUGCUGGAGACUCGCCUUAAAGUAAUUGACAGCCGGCCUACUGGUUUCGGAGCGCAGCACAAGUCGCACUCUCUAUCAGCGAAGGUAUAGCAUUCAUUAAGCCUUUUUUUCAACUUUUGACCUCGGAUCAGGUAGGGAGACACGCUGAACUUAA